RNAcentral lists this ribosomal RNA (1020 nucleotides) under Staphylococcus aureus. RNAcentral describes it as "partial 23S ribosomal RNA". It matches the Rfam family "Bacterial large subunit ribosomal RNA", at positions 426 to 1454 of the family's 2925-position model. The record is from RNAcentral. Lineage: Bacteria; Bacillati; Bacillota; Bacilli; Caryophanales; Staphylococcaceae.
GUGAAAUUCCGUCGGAAUCUGGGAGGACCAUCUCCUAAGGCUAAAUACUCUCUAGUGACCGAUAGUGAACCAGUACCGUGAGGGAAAGGUGAAAAGCACCCCGGAAGGGGAGUGAAAUAGAACCUGAAACCGUGUGCUUACAAGUAGUCAGAGCCCGUUAAUGGGUGAUGGCGUGCCUUUUGUAGAAUGAACCGGCGAGUUACGAUUUGAUGCAAGGUUAAGCAGUAAAUGUGGAGCCGUAGCGAAAGCGAGUCUGAAUAGGGCGUUUAGUAUUUGGUCGUAGACCCGAAACCAGGUGAUCUACCCUUGGUCAGGUUGAAGUUCAGGUAACACUGAAUGGAGGACCGAACCGACUUACGUUGAAAAGUGAGCGGAUGAACUGAGGGUAGCGGAGAAAUUCCAAUCGAACCUGGAGAUAGCUGGUUCUCUCCGAAAUAGCUUUAGGGCUAGCCUCAAGUGAUGAUUAUUGGAGGUAGAGCACUGUUUGGACGAGGGGCCCCUCUCGGGUUACCGAAUUCAGACAAACUCCGAAUGCCAAUUAAUUUAACUUGGGAGUCAGAACAUGGGUGAUAAGGUCCGUGUUCGAAAGGGAAACAGCCCAGACCACCAGCUAAGGUCCCAAAAUAUAUGUUAAGUGGAAAAGGAUGUGGCGUUGCCCAGACAACUAGGAUGUUGGCUUAGAAGCAGCCAUCAUUUAAAGAGUGCGUAAUAGCUCACUAGUCGAGUGACACUGCGCCGAAAAUGUACCGGGGCUAAACAUAUUACCGAAGCUGUGGAUUGUCCUUUGGACAAUGGUAGGAGAGCGUUCUAAGGGCGUUGAAGCAUGAUCGUAAGGACAUGUGGAGCGCUUAGAAGUGAGAAUGCCGGUGUGAGUAGCGAAAGACGGGUGAGAAUCCCGUCCACCGAUUGACUAAGGUUUCCAGAGGAAGGCUCGUCCGCUCUGGGUUAGUCGGGUCCUAAGCUGAGGCCGACAGGCGUAGGCGAUGGAUAACAGGUUGAUAUUCCUGUACCACCUAUAAU